UGCACGGUCCCCAGGGUUUGCCUGCAUAC
Molecule: non-coding RNA, 29 nt
Filed under: Homo sapiens (human)
Lineage: Eukaryota; Metazoa; Chordata; Mammalia; Primates; Hominidae
Source: RNAcentral